This 88-nucleotide transfer RNA is filed under the name Deltaproteobacteria bacterium. RNAcentral describes it as "tRNA-Ser". It matches the Rfam family "tRNA". Rfam says of the family: Transfer RNA (tRNA) molecules are approximately 80 nucleotides in length. Their secondary structure includes four short double-helical elements and three loops (D, anti-codon, and T loops). Lineage: Bacteria; Pseudomonadati; Myxococcota; Myxococcia. The record is from RNAcentral.
GGAAGCGUGGCCGAGUGGUUUAAGGCGCUGGUCUUGAAAACCUGUGAUGGUCCCCCAUCCGUGAGUUCGAAUCUCACCGCUUCCGCCA